RNAcentral lists this long non-coding RNA (1484 nucleotides) under Chrysolophus pictus (golden pheasant). RNAcentral describes it as "lncRNA (ENSCPIG00010008006.1)". Lineage: Eukaryota; Metazoa; Chordata; Aves; Galliformes; Phasianidae. The record is from RNAcentral.
UGCGGGUUCAAAAAAGCCCUAAAAAGAGCUUUUUGGACGGCCUUUUUUGCUUUAGGUCCCUUCCCCAGUGCAGUCUUACCUGCCCUGAAGCUGGUCUCCGCAGCAACGACCGUUUCAAAACAACCGUUUUGUUUUUGUUUCAAAAAAACCGUUUCGUUUAAAAACAGCAGGCAUUAGCAUACCCUAUUUCCCUUUGACCUGAGGAGACUGCCCUAGGGGGAUAAAGUGAAGUAUUAGUAAGGUUAGUGUUAGAGAAAGGAAAAACUCUCCAGGUCCCAUUCACAUUGCUCCAACUCCCUCAGUAAUUGGUAGUGCAUCCUCUCUCCAGAACCCUGCUCAGGAUCAGCAGCACGGCCACUCCCCUUCUCUGGAGAGGUCACUGCCGCUUGCAUUGCUUUAGAAAUUGAAGGGGGAGGAAAGUUAUCUGAGGGAUCCCACGUAGGAUCUUUCUGCUUCUCUUUCCUUUUUCUUUUGAACUUCCACUCCUUCUUGUGAGGAACUUGUUUUACUUCUUGCACCCAUUAAGCGACAGAAGCCAGUUCUGUUUCAGAAAAAGGAGUCUGUUUAUAGUGUUGACGUAUAAAUUCAAGGUCUGACAGGCCCAAUCUUCGUCAGACCCCUAUUUUGGUCAAAAUAAUGAUUUUCCCUGUAGUGGCUCUCUAGGCUAUGUCUGUAUACAGUAUUUAAACAUCUUUGCCCCGCUCUUCUCCCAAGUUUUGGGAUUAUUUUCCAAUUCUGAAGCCUCAUUCCCGAGGGGCUAUCUCUAGGCACGAAUUUGAAGUCCUGCCAGCUCAGGACUUUCUGCUUGGGGCCCGAGGACUGCUGAUUUGGGUCCUUUGAAGUGAUAACCUCGCUGACCCUGUACCGGAUCCAUCUGGGGCGUUCAGAAUGGCCUAGCUGGUGGGGCCAGUUGGAGGCACGGCGCUGGGCAUUAAUGCGCAGCUGCUGCUCCUGGGAUGCCAUCUUCUGGUCCCCAUCCUCCAUUGUUACACGGCAAGUGGCUAAGCCAAACCAGCAGGGCCGGCUGGAGGUCCUGCUCUCAACAGGAUGCUCCUGCUGCUGAGGAAGGUCUGGCUUUUUGUCCCCACUACAGAUCCAGGCAAAAUAGCUGCAACAGCUGGAGCCGAAUCCAGCAAGUGGGGAUGUGGUGUCUGCAGAGGGGUUAUUCCUGUUCCGUGUAUCUUGCGCUGCCUGCCUCUUCUGCAUGCUCCUGCACGCUUCCCGGUGGGACUGGAAGAGGGUCCUCAGGUGCCUCUCCAUUGAGUCUAUGUUAGCCUCCAUGUGGCAGAGCAGGUCAGAAACACUGACGUCCGCAUUUCCCUGGUGCUCUGUUCUUCUGGAGGCUGAGGCUGUUGGUCCCGUUUCCUAAAAGUGACGGAGCACAGUGAAAGGGAUGCAGACUCAUUUUGCAGAGCAUUCCCCUGCAGGGCUCCGAUUCCUGUGCAGCUUUUCCUGCCUCGCAGGACUGCCCGAAGCAUGGGGCU